GAUGAACGCUGACAGAAUGCUUAACACAUGCAAGUCAACUUGAACUUCGGUUUGGGUGGCGGACGGGUGAGUAACGCGUAAAGAACUUGCCUCACAGUUAGGGACAACAUUUGGAAACGAAUGCUAAUACCUGAUAUUAUGAUUUUAGGGCAUCCUAGAAUUAUGAAAGCUAUAUGCGCUGUGAGAGAGCUUUGCGUCCCAUUAGCUAGUUGGAGAGGUAACGGCUCACCAAGGCGAUGAUGGGUAGCCGGCCUGAGAGGGUGAACGGCCACAAGGGGACUGAGACACGGCCCUUACUCCUACAGGAGGCAGCAGUGGGGAAUAUUGGACAAUGGACCAAGAGUCUGAUCCAGCAAUUCUGUGUGCACGAUGAAGUUUUUCGGAAUGUAAAGUGCUUUCAGUUGGGAAGAAAAAAAUGACGGUACCAACAGAAGAAGUGACGGCUAAAUACGU
This 453-nucleotide ribosomal RNA is filed under the name uncultured bacterium. Its description in RNAcentral is "partial 16S ribosomal RNA". It matches the Rfam family "Bacterial small subunit ribosomal RNA", at positions 28 to 506 of the family's 1533-position model. The record is from RNAcentral.